Long non-coding RNA from Passer montanus (Eurasian tree sparrow), 1616 nucleotides. RefSeq lists it as uncharacterized. The transcript has 3 exons. Lineage: Eukaryota; Metazoa; Chordata; Aves; Passeriformes; Passeridae. The record is from RefSeq and is a predicted model, not a curated record.
CGUCCGGAAGGGAAGGGUUGUUUGGGGUUUUUUUAUUGUAGGUGCAAGGCGAAAGGGGAAAGCUGCGCAGCCUAAAAAAAGCAUCACGGCUUCCUCAGUUCCCAGUGGGACCGGUAACGGCAGCGCCAGUCCCCGGGGGCGGCGGGGAGGGGCUGCAGCCCCUUCCCAGGUGGUUCUGCGGGGGAAGCGGUUCCUCCCUCUGGAGGGCUGUGGCACUUCAGAGUUUUCAGAUGUCUAGAAAUUUUCCAAUGGAGCCACAUGUCCACAUAUGGCAAAUUUAAGCCAAGUGAGAAGAGUUUUAGUUACUGUUGUCAUAUGUUGGGCAUGAUCCAGAUAAAACAAUCCAUGGAUGACAGCUUAAAAUGCAACAGAUCCAUCCUGACAGCCUGUACAUCAUAAGUGAUGUUUUAGCCCAGACUCCUCCAGUAACUAUUCACAGAUUAUUUUUUUCAUGAAGAAAGGAGAAGAAUCUUUUGUGGAACACUUCUUUCUGCAGUACAGGCAGGUACUGUAGUAAGUAAGGAUGCUAAUAAAGAACAUACCAUGGGCACAGAGAGGACCACGCAAAAGGUCUGAGCAAAGAGCUACAUAGCAGGAAUCUCUUUGCAGCUGAUUGUGGCAGCCAACAAAUGACCUGUGUUCACUGUGAAUAAAGUUACAGCUUAUACAUUGGCAAACAAAAUCCUAGUGCAGAAUCAGAAAACACACGCUGCUAAACAAAGCUGAUUUAUAAGAGCUCUUGGACACAUAAUAUUUAAUAUUUGAGCAUAUGCUUUAACAUUUCUGCAUCACACUAGAAUGAACAUUUUUCUUUUCAUUCAUCUCACUGUUCUGAAUGAAGUGGGUUAAUUCUGGAGAUGGGAGGACAGCCAAUGCUGCCUGAUUACCAGACUGAUUUAGCAGGCAUUUGUGUAUGGGUAAAGAACAUAAUUUCACACACACCCUUGUGUAUAAUACUACCUGUUGCCUGGUUAGAGGCAAGAGCACCACACCACACUUUCUUAUGUCAUGGGAACCCAAAUUAAGUAGUCAUGUUUUGCAAGCUUCACUCCUCUUGCCACACAAUCCUCUGCACUAUGUGAGCAUACAACAAAUUUCAUCACAGAGCUGGCCCAUAUCAACACAUUUUCUUGUUCUGAUGAGGUUCAUUGCCAAAAAUGCGUAGGGAAUUAAAAACAAUCUAUCAGGUCCUGACAUUGGAAUCACAUCUUAACAGGCACUGAACUAUGGGACCUGAGCAUCCAGUCGCUAAGUCAUGGUGAUACUUAGUGCUGGCAUAUUCCUCUUCCAAUAAGAACUUGUCCCUCUCCUAAUGUUUGAGAAACACCAGAGCUGCUGGUUGUAUUUGCUGUGUAGUUUGUAAAUACUUUGGACAGAUGUUAAUGCAGCACGUCUCAGCCCCUCACCCUCACAAAACAGGACUUGGCACUUCUCCCAGAUGAAAUGAAUAGGACACCAGUGGGUAAUAGUUUGUCACUUUUACAAUUCCUCUAUUUUUAAAUCUGCUAAUACAUGGAACUAGAAUUCCAUAACCCUCCAUUAGAUAGUAAAAAACACUCAAAGGAAAUGCACAUAGUAAAUGAAAAUUCAGAAUGUCACUUAGUCUUCUGUGUUCA